Molecule: ribosomal RNA, 465 nt
Filed under: Vreelandella stevensii
Lineage: Bacteria; Pseudomonadati; Pseudomonadota; Gammaproteobacteria; Oceanospirillales; Halomonadaceae
Description: partial 16S ribosomal RNA
Rfam family: Bacterial small subunit ribosomal RNA
Source: RNAcentral
CCUACGGGCGGCAGCAGUGGGGAAUAUUGGACAAUGGGCGAAAGCCUGAUCCAGCCAUGCCGCGUGUGUGAAGAAGGCCUUCGGGUUGUAAAGCACUUUCAGUGGGGAAGAAAGCCUUGGGGCUAAUACCCUCGAGGAAGGACAUCACCCACAGAAGAAGCACCGGCUAACUCCGUGCCAGCAGCCGCGGUAAUACGGAGGGUGCGAGCGUUAAUCGGAAUUACUGGGCGUAAAGCGCGCGUAGGCGGUCUGAUAAGCCGGUUGUGAAAGCCCCGGGCUCAACCUGGGAACGGCAUCCGGAACUGUCAGGCUAGAGUGCAGGAGAGGAAGGUAGAAUUCCCGGUGUAGCGGUGAAAUGCGUAGAGAUCGGGAGGAAUACCAGUGGCGAAGGCGGCCUUCUGGACUGACACUGACGCUGAGGUGCGAAAGCGUGGGUGGCAAACAGGAUUAGAUACCCCAGUAGUC